GCGCCAGGGAAUUACGAGCUCAAACUUAAAACCCAAAGGACUUGACGGUGCCCCACUCCAACUAGAGGAGCCUGUUCUAUAAUCGACAACACUCGCUAAACCCGACUGCUUUUAGACCCUCAGCUUGUAUACUUCCGUCGAAAGCUCACCAUGUUGAAAGACACACAGUGUGCUCAAAGGUCUUACACCAACACGUCAGGUCAAGGUGCAGCCAAUAAAGCAGACAGCAAUGGGCUACAAUUUCUACGAUAGAACACACGAAAAGCCGCAUGAAACACGGCUAAGAAGGCGGAUUUAGUAGUAAAAAGAAAAUAAAGUGUUCUUUUUAAUCAGGUGCUGGGACGCGU
This 347-nucleotide ribosomal RNA is filed under the name Breviceps ombelanonga (Angolan rain frog). RNAcentral's name for it is "partial 12S ribosomal RNA". It matches the Rfam family "Bacterial small subunit ribosomal RNA", at positions 869 to 1384 of the family's 1533-position model. Lineage: Eukaryota; Metazoa; Chordata; Amphibia; Anura; Brevicipitidae. The record is from RNAcentral.